UGAAAACAAGCUUCUUUUGAAGUCGAAAUGGAUUUAAACAUGAAUAGAUCUUAAGUGACCGGCACAAUCAGCCGUAUGGCCUCAUCACAUACUUGGAAGGCUACCUCCAUCUAAAAUAAAUAGACCUAUCUGGCAGGAUAUUGGCAUAGUAUGGUUACAGAUCAAUCUGAGAGUAGAUGUGGCAAUACUAAGGCAAAAAUGAAACAAUAAAGACGAACUUUAAUGAGAACGGCACGAGCAGGUUUGGUUGCAACUUCAGGUCAUGUAGUAUAGUGUGAUGAGUGAGUGAAGCCCCAUAACUGCACAACAAAUGAGACA
Long non-coding RNA from Rhodamnia argentea, 318 nucleotides. RefSeq lists it as uncharacterized. NCBI's taxonomy places the organism in Eukaryota, Viridiplantae, Streptophyta, Magnoliopsida, Myrtales, Myrtaceae. The transcript has 3 exons. The record is from RefSeq and is a predicted model, not a curated record.